Non-coding RNA from Phrynosoma platyrhinos (Desert horned lizard), 72 nucleotides. The record is from the annotation of a GenBank genome assembly. Lineage: Eukaryota; Metazoa; Chordata; Lepidosauria; Squamata; Phrynosomatidae.
GCCACUGUGGUAUAGUGGUCUGAAUGCUGGACUAGGACUCUGGAGACCUGGGUUCAAAUCCCCACUCAGCCA